GGGGAAACAGGCAUGUGAACACCGACCGGCCUGGUACAGCAGGCUGGGGGCUCUAAGGCUGGGUGGGGGAAGUGUGCCUUUGUGAGAGUGUGUGUGUGAGCUCGUGUGUGUGUGUGUGUGUGUGUGUGUGUGUGUGUGUGUGUGUGUGUGUGUGCAGCCGAGCCUGUGUGCUUUGGGUGUGGGUGUUUGUCUCCCUGUAUCCGCCUUCUCUCCCGUUCUGGACUUUUAGCCUUCCUGGGCUCAUCUCCCUCCUGUCCUGCACCCUACCUGUAGAAGCUGGAAUUGGGUGCCCUAGUGGAGAAGGAGGCCACGCUCCAGGGCCCACUGUAACCCCGGACGCUGCCCGAGGCUUCCCUCUAGCUCCCCCUCCCUUCCUUUCCUCUCUUUCCUCCCUCCCUCUUUCUCUUCCUCCCUCCCCCCCAAGGCUGGCGUGCCAGGGGGUGGGACAUGCCAAUCACCGGCUGUGCCUCUCCGGCUGCCAGCACAGGGCGCAGCUCCCCCCGGGAGCCAGGUGUUUGGGUCCCUGGAGACGCCGCCAGCCCCCCGGAGAGACAGCAGGGCUGAGGACCCUUCAGACCCCUCUCCAGCCCCAUGGGAACCCUGACUCCCACCAUCCCCAUCCACCUUCAGCCCCUCCACGAUGGACUGAACCAGGCUGCUGGCCAGAUGGACAAGCGGGAUGCCAAGGUGAUGACCGGCCCCUGAGGAAGCCCCGUCCUGUGAUUAGAGGAAGGGGCUGCCUCCCCUACUCCACCCAGCCACCAUGAAUACCUCAGCGCCACCUGCCGUCAGCCCCAACAUCACCGUCCUGGCACCGGGAAAGGGUCCCUGGCAAGUGGCCUUCAUCGGGAUCACCACGGGCCUCCUGUCACUGGCCACGGUGACAGGCAACCUGCUGGUGCUCAUCUCUUUCAAGGUCAACACGGAGCUCAAGACGGUCAACAACUACUUCCUGCUGAGCCUGGCCUGUGCCGACCUCAUCAUCGGUACCUUCUCCAUGAACCUUUACACCACGUAUCUGCUCAUGGGCCACUGGGCUCUGGGCACGCUGGCCUGCGACCUCUGGCUGGCCCUGGACUAUGUGGCCAGCAACGCCUCGGUCAUGAACCUGCUGCUCAUCAGCUUUGACCGCUACUUCUCGGUGACCCGGCCCCUGAGCUACCGCGCCAAGCGCACACCCCGCCGGGCAGCCCUGAUGAUCGGCCUGGCCUGGCUGGUUUCGUUCGUGCUCUGGGCCCCGGCCAUCCUCUUCUGGCAGUACCUGGUAGGGGAGCGGACGGUGCUGGCCGGGCAGUGCUACAUCCAGUUCCUCUCCCAGCCCAUCAUCACCUUUGGCACGGCCAUGGCCGCCUUCUACCUCCCCGUCACGGUCAUGUGCGCCCUCUACUGGCGCAUCUACCGGGAGACAGAGAACCGGGCCCGGGAGCUGGCGGCCCUGCAGGGCUCGGAGACGCCGGGGAAGGGGGGCGGCAGCAGCAGCAGCUCAGAGCGGUCCCAGCCGGGGGCCGAAGGCUCCCCAGAGACCCCUCCAGGACGCUGCUGCCGCUGCUGCCGGACCCCCCGGCUGCUCCAGGCCUACAGCUGGAAGGAGGAAGAGGAGGAGGACGAAGGCUCCAUGGAGUCCCUCACCUCCUCGGAGGGUGAGGAGCCUGGCUCCGAGGUGGUGAUCAAGAUGCCCAUGGUGGACCCCGAGGCGCAGGCCCCCGCCAAGCAGCCGCCCCGGAGCUCCCCGAAUACGGUCAAGAGGCCGACCCGGAAGGGGCGCGAGCGGGCGGGCAAGGGCCAGAAGCCCCGUGGGAAGGAGCAACUGGCCAAGCGGAAGACCUUCUCGCUGGUCAAGGAGAAGAAGGCGGCUCGGACCCUGAGCGCUAUCCUGCUGGCCUUCAUCCUCACCUGGACGCCGUACAACAUCAUGGUGCUGGUGUCCACCUUCUGCAAGGACUGUGUCCCCGAGACCCUGUGGGAGCUGGGCUACUGGCUGUGCUAUGUCAACAGCACCAUCAACCCCAUGUGCUACGCGCUCUGCAACAAGGCCUUCCGGGACACCUUCCGCCUGCUGCUGCUCUGCCGCUGGGACAAGCGUCGCUGGCGCAAGAUCCCCAAGCGCCCCGGCUCUGUGCACCGCACCCCCUCCCGCCAGUGCUGAUGGCCCUCCCGCCUGCAUCCCUCCACCCCGGCAGCCCCCGUAGAAAUCGGGCAAGGGUGGUGACCUCAGACCCAGGGCCCUGCUAGGGGAGGGGGCCCCCCCCCAGGCUUCCGGGGACCCUAGGUCACCUUCCUGCACAACCCAGGGAGACCCCACCAACUUUCCAAACUGGGGAACCCGGGGAACUGGUUCUUGUGUUCCCUUCUGGGUGGGAAUAGGCUCUUCACCAGGAAGAAAGCCUGGGAGGGGGUAUCCGGACUUUGGAUUCCUUGUUUGUGUUCAGGCAGGAAGUCCAUGCAGAGCCAGUAGAGCCGGCCAGGAGAAAGGAGGUUUAACCAAGCGGUCCUCCUUGGCCCCAGGAGCUGGCCUGGAUCGAGUGGAGGAUGGCACCCCCUGCCAGCAGGGAACUGACACCAACUACUGAGAGAAAAGCUUGGCUCAAGGGAGUAUCCCUGCUUCCCAGGCGUCCCCUCCCUCCCCAGGCACAGCGCACUCCGCUGGGCCCUCGAACACUCUCCAAGGUGUCCUUGUGUGGGUCACCCCCAAGGCAAAUGUCCAAGCAUCAGCGGGACAAUGACACCAGAGGGGACCUAUGUGGCCCGUCGCCAUCAAGCCCCAAGGCAGCAGGAGGAGGGAGCACCAGGCAUCCCGACUGUCCCACUAAGUCAUUUCCCUGGGAGUGAGGGGCAGGGGUGCCUGCUGUCCAGACCCUGCCCUGGAGAAGCCCUCAGACCCUCCCUCCCUGGCUCACAGACACCACCUGGGUAGAUCUGCUCCCUCGGAUCUAGCCAGGCCUCCCGCAUGCUGCCUGCCUCCGCCCCCAACCCCCACUGGUCUGGCCCAGCACAGGUUCCCUCCUGUGUGCUCGUCCAUCUGACCCAUGCAUGGCCUCCCAGCCACCCUCAUCUCCAGGCCCAGCCUGGUCCCAGAUGUUCUUUCCUGCCAACCUCAGCAAGCGCUGAGUCUGUGAAUAAAGCCACAUAACCAGCGGCCACUAAGGGGCCUUCUUCCCUGGGUUAGUUAGCUCUUUUUGUUCCCUCCCUCACACCCCCGCCAGUCGGCUGGCCACACCGUGCAGCUUGCAGGAUCUUAGUUACCCUACUAGGGAUCGAACCUGUGCCCCCUGCAGUGGAAGCCCAGAGUCCGAACCACUGGACUGCCAAGGAACUCCCUUAAGGACCUGGUCGUAAGCCAGGAGAGGAUGGGGCAGGGAGGGUCCAAGGACCGUGAGAAGUGGGUCACUGCCCUGAGGGUGGUCUCAGGAGGAGCAGCACCAAGUGGCUGGGUCUACUGAAACCUGUGAACCCAGCACCCAGCUUCCGGCUCAGGUGAGUAAGGCUGUAGUGGGCAGAGCUGGCUACUGGAAGGAGGAGGACCAUGAAACAAACUGCCCCUGCCCAUAGCCCAGCAUAUUCUUCAGCAGCUUUGCCGUAAGGGGAACUCAUCACUCCCCACCCCAGGGAGAAAGGAAAUGCUCCAAAGCCCCAUUUACAGAUGGGAAGACUGGGGCCCAGUGACCCACAAAGACCUUUCAGGGUUACCCCCAAAGCAACACUUUGAGGGUAACUGCCUGGCUUCCAGACAGUUCACAGCCUCCCAAAGCAUUCCACAAAGAUGCCCCUCAGGCACUUCACUGGUGAGGGGGCCCCCAAAGCCUAAACCCUAGCAAGGUUAAUCCCACAGCGCAGAGCAGUGGCUCUCUGGUUGUCACCGGCGUCCUCAAAACCACCGUUAGGUUCAAUCAUUCACUAGGACACAGAUCUCAGCAAAGCUGUUAUCUUCGUGGUUAUAAUUAUUACUGUGAAAGGAUGCAAAGUCAGCAAAGCAUAAAAGUGCACAGGCAGAGUCCAGGAGAGACCAGCUGCCAGCUUCCGCUGACCUCUCCCAGUGGAGUCAUGGGGACAGCACUUAAUUCUCCCAGCAACAAUGAGUCGCCACCCCAGAAACACAGUUUCCAGCUGCAUGAAGCACUGCCAACCAAGAAGUUCAGCCAAGUCUUGGUGUCUGGUGUUUCAUGAAGGCUACUGACCACCCACAUGGCUGACCUUAGUUACUUAGUCUCCAGCCCCUUCAGAGGCUAUCCCAAGAGGCCCCUGGCUCCCAGAUAAGCAAAAAUAUUCUUAUCAAACAGGAUAUUCCAAGGGUUUAGGGGCUAUCUCCCAGGAGCCAGGCAAACCUUUCUUUGGAGCGUGCGAGGUUUAGACAGCCCAGACGCUGGAUUGAAAGCUGAGUUAACGCUUCAGUGCACAGUGGUCCUGACCAGUAGCAUCAGUAUCACCCAGGAACUUGUUAGACAUAUAAGCUCUUGGGGUUACCCCAGAUUUACUGAAUCAUAAACUCUAGGGGUAUAGCCCAGCCAUGUCUCAAUAAGCUGCCCAGGUGAUUGUGACACAGGUUAAAGUCUGAGAAAUUCUGACCUAGAGGAAUAAGUCAUGUACAGAUGUGAAAGUUGGACCAUAAAAAAAGCUGAGUGCCAAAGAAUUGAUGCUUUC
Molecule: long non-coding RNA, 4638 nt
Organism: Bos indicus x Bos taurus (hybrid cattle)
Lineage: Eukaryota; Metazoa; Chordata; Mammalia; Artiodactyla; Bovidae
Product: cholinergic receptor muscarinic 1
Source: Ensembl